GGUGCUUGCACCAAAUGAAACUAGAUACAAGCGAGCGGCGGACGGGUGAGUAACACGUGGGUAACCUGCCCAAGAGACUGGGAUAACACCUGGAAACAGAUGCUAAUACCGGAUAACAACACUAGACGCAUGUCUAGAGUUUAAAAGAUGGUUCUGCUAUCACUCUUGGAUGGACCUGCGGUGCAUUAGCUAGUUGGUAAGGUAACGGCUUACCAAGGCAAUGAUGCAUAGCCGAGUUGAGAGACUGAUCGGCCACAUUGGGACUGAGACACGGCCCAAACUCCUACGGGAGGCAGCAGUAGGGAAUCUUCCACAAUGGACGCAAGUCUGAUGGAGCAACGCCGCGUGAGUGAAGAAGGGUUUCGGCUCGUAAAGCUCUGUUGGUAGUGAAGAAAGAUAGAGGUAGUAACUGGCCUUUAUUUGACGGUAAUUACUUAGAAAGUCACGGCUAACUACGUGCCAGCAGCCGCGGUAAUACGUAGGUGGCAAGCGUUGUCCGGAUUUAUUGGGCGUAAAGCGAGUGCAGGCGGUUCAAUAAGUCUGAUGUGAAAGCCUUCGGCUCAACCGGAGAAUUGCAUCAGAAACUGUUGAACUUGAGUGCAGAAGAGGAGAGUGGAACUCCAUGUGUAGCGGUGGAAUGCGUAGAUAUAUGGAAGAACACCAGUGGCGAAGGCGGCUCUCUGGUCUGCAACUGACGCUGAGGCUCGAAAGCAUGGGUAGCGAACAGGAUUAGAUACCCUGGUAGUCCAUGCCGUAAACGAUGAGUGCUAAGUGUUGGGAGGUUUCCGCCUCUCAGUGCUGCAGCUAACGCAUUAAGCACUCCGCCUGG
RNAcentral lists this ribosomal RNA (829 nucleotides) under Lactobacillus gasseri. Its description in RNAcentral is "bacterial SSU rRNA". It matches the Rfam family "Bacterial small subunit ribosomal RNA", at positions 75 to 876 of the family's 1533-position model. The record is from RNAcentral. Lineage: Bacteria; Bacillati; Bacillota; Bacilli; Lactobacillales; Lactobacillaceae.